AUAAAGUUCAAUCCCUUCAUCACCUUAGACCACAGCCAAAACUGCAAAUGUCACUUCACUGGCCCCUCACAUGUGCACAGGAACAUCUUGCCGUCCCUGCUCUCCCAGCAUGAUAUCCCAGCAAGGAGCUGAAGCAGAAGCACAGUGUCCACUCCAUGCCCAUCCUCAAGGAUAAAGAGGUCCAGGUGGUUGGAAGACACUACAAAGGUCAGCAAAUCAGCAAGGUGGUCCAGAUGUACAUAAAUAAAUGUCAUCUACACGGAGUGGGUGCAUUGUGAGAAGAACCAAUGGGACCGCCGUCUUUGUGGGCAUUCGCCCGAGCCAGGUGGUUAUCACAGGCUAAAGCUGGACAAGAAAUGGGAAAAAGUUCUUGAGUGCAAAGCCAAGUCUUGACAAGUCAGAAAAGAGAAAGGCAAACAUAAGGAAGAACUUACUGCGAAAAUACAGG
This 448-nucleotide long non-coding RNA is filed under the name Homo sapiens (human). RNAcentral's name for it is "non-protein coding lnc-CSMD1-17:1". The record is from RNAcentral. Lineage: Eukaryota; Metazoa; Chordata; Mammalia; Primates; Hominidae.